GACGAACGCUGGCGGCGUGCUUAACACAUGCAAGUCGAACGGAAAGGCCCUGCUUUUGUGGGGUGCUCGAGUGGCGAACGGGUGAGUAACACGUGAGUAACCUGCCCUUGACUUUGGGAUAACUUCAGGAAACUGGGGCUAAUACCGGAUAGGAGCUCCUGCUGCAUGGUGGGGGUUGGAAAGUUUCGGCGGUUGGGGAUGGACUCGCGGCUUAUCAGCUUGUUGGUGGGGUAGUGGCUUACCAAGGCUUUGACGGGUAGCCGGCCUGAGAGGGUGACCGGCCACAUUGGGACUGAGAUACGGCCCAGACUCCUCCGGGAGGCAGCAGUGGGGAAUAUUGAACAAUGGGCGGAAGCCGGAUGCAGCACCGCCGCGUGCGGGAUGACGGCCUUCGGGUUGUAAACCGCUUUCGCCUGUGACGAAGCGUGAGUGACGGUAAUGGGUAAAGAAGCACCGGCUAACUACGU
RNAcentral lists this ribosomal RNA (467 nucleotides) under uncultured bacterium. RNAcentral's name for it is "partial 16S ribosomal RNA". It matches the Rfam family "Bacterial small subunit ribosomal RNA", at positions 28 to 506 of the family's 1533-position model. The record is from RNAcentral.